This is a non-coding RNA of Phrynosoma platyrhinos (Desert horned lizard), 72 nucleotides long. The record is from the annotation of a GenBank genome assembly. NCBI's taxonomy places the organism in Eukaryota, Metazoa, Chordata, Lepidosauria, Squamata, Phrynosomatidae.
GCCAGUGUGGUAUAGUGGUUUGAACAUUGGACUAUGACUCUGGAGACCAGGGUUUGAAUCCCUGCUCAACCA